Pongo abelii (Sumatran orangutan) is the source of this 99-nucleotide small nuclear RNA. NCBI's taxonomy places the organism in Eukaryota, Metazoa, Chordata, Mammalia, Primates, Hominidae. The record is from Ensembl.
GUUUGCUUCAGCAGCACAUAUACUAAAAUUGAAACAAUACAGAGAAGAUUAGCAUGGUCCUAUAUUAUAUCUAUUAGCAUAGAUAAUAAAUAAAUUAUA